GUGAGUUUUGCACAUGCAAAUUAACCAAUAAGUUUUGGCCACAAUUGAGCCCAAUGACUAACAACUCAUUAUUUAAGAAACAAUCAAGUCAAAAGCUGUUGGGAGUUGAUAUUUUUUGAGAUAAGGAUUUUCACAUGAGCUCCACCAGUUCACCGCCACCAACAAUCCUUUAUCUACUUUAAUUCCGUUUCCCAGCAGCCAAACAAUGCCUUUUACCGGCUAAAUCUAGCCAAAGACACAUACACAACGCCUCACAACCUCUUCUUCUUCCUUGCUGCCUCCGACCACCUCCACAAAACAGCCACCGGAAAUGAACCUUGAACCACUAGACCUACCUCUGUCUCCUCCAAAAAACAUCAUAGACCUCCAUCUAAAACCACCAAGAGACCCACAAAGCGAGCAGAAGCUCCAAACGACCCCAUUCCCACUUUUGUCUGAAACACUUCAAUAGCAAAUGGAGCCAGCAAGAUUCGAUCUCUGAGCUCUAUUUCCGGCAAGCUCCUAGCUUACGGAAUAACAACCAAGACCAGCAGCUCAACAGCAAACCAGAAACCCCCAAAACCACCAGAAAAUCCAUCAACACCAAGCUCCUUCCCUUCCACUUUCUCCCUUUUAUGUGAUUUUCAUUUGUUUAGCAGCGAUUCCGGCAGCAACAAUGACAACUCCGGCGAAUAAUAGUUCAAAUCAGCCUCCAGCGAGCUCCAAAGGCGAACAACAGAGCCAAACAACUCAACUCCGGUGAAAUUUGGUCUUUGAUGGUUUUGUGUAAGUGGUGAUGGCUAGAGGAUAUUUCUUAGAAUGAAGACGUUGGAUAGCUAUUCCCAAGUUCAAGUGCCCUUAUGAUUCAAGGACCUUCAUGUCAAAGAAGUUAUUUAUGUUCAUGCAGUAGUAGCGAUUAAACUUCAUGUUGUUAAGGGUCUUGUACCUAUUAUAUUCUAUUGAUGUUGAGUCUAAGAUGGAAAAAUGAGACUUAGUGUCUAAACUAUGUAUUUAUGAUGUUAUAUAUGAAGUGAUAUUCUAGUAUGCUAUAAAAAAAUUUAAAUUUUUAAUGCGAUGAAAAAUGUCUAUGGGCUUGUCGAAGACUUUCGAGAGGUUGACGAUGCUGGUUACUACUAGGGGGUGCUCCUCGAUCGUGACACAAAUAAUGGUAAA
RNAcentral lists this long non-coding RNA (1152 nucleotides) under Solanum lycopersicum (tomato). RNAcentral describes it as "partial TCONS_00078885". Lineage: Eukaryota; Viridiplantae; Streptophyta; Magnoliopsida; Solanales; Solanaceae. The record is from RNAcentral.